This 434-nucleotide unclassified non-coding RNA is filed under the name Homo sapiens (human). Its description in RNAcentral is "long intergenic non-protein coding RNA 3126 (ENSG00000291400.1)". Lineage: Eukaryota; Metazoa; Chordata; Mammalia; Primates; Hominidae. The record is from RNAcentral.
ACCUGGUGCGCGGCUCCGGACCUGGCGACCCACGACCGGCUGGUCACUUGCUGCCACCUCGCAAAGGCGCAUCUCUAGUUCAGUGGCCAUGUGCUCAUUUCCACUUACCUGGCAGGGGAGAGACCGUGGUCACGAAGGGGGUUCUCCCAGAGUGAAGCUUCUUCAUCGCACUCUAGAGUUGCUGAUCCCUGUGAUUUCCUCCAUGUGGGAAACGGUGUUUGUGCUAGAAGAGGCUGCGCUCUUUACCUGACAUAACGGGGUUCAAGACUGACAACGCCUCACGCCCACCCGAAAACGUUUACAUGGCUUCCUUGUCUCUUUUUUUUUCUGUCCUAAAGUCGCCUCAUCUUCACAUCCCCUCUUUUUUUUCUUCCACACUCGAGAGUGUCUCUCUCUCUCAGUAAAAGCUCCACCAAAUAUUUGAAAUAUCUCAA